GUUGGUGAACCAGCGGAGGGAUCAUUACCGAGUUUACAACUCCCAAACCCCUGUGAACAUACCAAUUGUUGCCUCGGCGGAUCAGCCCGCUCCCGGUAAAACGGGACGGCCCGCCAGAGGACCCCUAAACUCUGUUUCUAUAUGUAACUUCUGAGUAAAACCAUAAAUAAAUCAAAACUUUCAACAACGGAUCUCUUGGUUCUGGCAUCGAUGAAGAACGCAGCAAAAUGCGAUAAGUAAUGUGAAUUGCAGAAUUCAGUGAAUCAUCGAAUCUUUGAACGCACAUUGCGCCCGCCAGUAUUCUGGCGGGCAUGCCUGUUCGAGCGUCAUUUCAACCCUCAAGCCCCCGGGUUUGGUGUUGGGGAUCGGCGAGCCCUUGCGGCAAGCCGGCCCCGAAAUCUAGUGGCGGUCUCGCUGCAGCCUCCAUUGCGUAGUAGCUAACACCUCGCAACUGGAACGCGGCGCGGCCAAGCCGUUAAACCCCCAACUUCUGAAUGUUGACCUCGGAUCAGGUAGGAAUACCCGCUGAACUUAAGCAUAUCAAUAAGCGGAGGA
RNAcentral lists this ribosomal RNA (555 nucleotides) under uncultured fungus. RNAcentral describes it as "eukaryotic LSU rRNA". The stretch from base 176 to 329 matches the Rfam family "5.8S ribosomal RNA". Lineage: Eukaryota; Fungi. The record is from RNAcentral.